UAUGGAUUAUAGUGAAUACCAGGUUAUUAUUAGUUAAGGUCUUGAAAAUUAAAGAAUUUGGCGGUGUUUUAGUCUGUUCAGAGGAACCUGUUGUGUAAUUGAUGUUCCACGAUAAAUUUUACUUUUUUUAUUAGUUUGUAUAUCGUCGUUAUUGAAUAUUCUUUUAGGAUAUAAUAUUCAUUAUUUCUUUUAGAAAGAAAAUCAGAUCAAGAUGCAGUUUAUAAAAAAGAAUUAAUGGGUUACAAUAAUUUUAUUUAAAUGGAUAAAAGUUUGAAAAGUUUUUUGAAGGUGGAUUUGAUAGUAAUUAAUUUUAUUUAAUUUUAAUGAUUAAGCUCUAAAACAUGU
This 345-nucleotide ribosomal RNA is filed under the name Ahasverus advena. RNAcentral's name for it is "partial 12S ribosomal RNA". Lineage: Eukaryota; Metazoa; Arthropoda; Insecta; Coleoptera; Silvanidae. The record is from RNAcentral.